Bombus impatiens (common eastern bumble bee) is the source of this 111-nucleotide long non-coding RNA. RefSeq lists it as uncharacterized. The record is from RefSeq and is a predicted model, not a curated record. Lineage: Eukaryota; Metazoa; Arthropoda; Insecta; Hymenoptera; Apidae. The transcript has 3 exons.
GUCAUCUGGCCGAGUCUGACAUAACCUAGUGACGCGGGUCACUGGGUAUGCGUAAUAGCAUUUCCCCUUCUCACGCAAAAAAAGAAAAAACCAAAUUCGAGUCUCACCACC